This 496-nucleotide ribosomal RNA is filed under the name uncultured bacterium. Its description in RNAcentral is "partial 16S ribosomal RNA". It matches the Rfam family "Bacterial small subunit ribosomal RNA", at positions 28 to 506 of the family's 1533-position model. The record is from RNAcentral.
GAUGAACGCUGGCGGCGUGCCUAAUACAUGCAAGUCGAGCGAACAGAUGAGGAGCUUGCUCCUCUGACGUUAGCGGCGGACGGGUGAGUAACACGUGGAUAACCUACCUAUAAGACUGGGAUAACUUCGGGAAACCGGAGCUAAUACCGGAUAAUAUAUUGAACCGCAUGGUUCAAUAGUGAAAGACGGUUUUGCUGUCACUUAUAGAUGGAUCCGCGCCGCAUUAGCUAGUUGGUAAGGUAACGGCUUACCAAGGCAACGAUGCGUAGCCGACCUGAGAGGGUGAUCGGCCACACUGGAACUGAGACACGGUCCAGACUCCUACGGGAGGCAGCAGUAGGGAAUCUUCCGCAAUGGGCGAAAGCCUGACGGAGCAACGCCGCGUGAGCGAUGAAGGUCUUCGGAUCGUAAAACUCUGUUAUUAGGGAAGAACAAAUGUGUAAGUAACUAUGCACGUCUUGACGGUACCUAAGCAGAAAGCCACGGCUAACUACGU